UCAGUAGGGGGAGCUCUGAUUAUUUUGGUUUUACAUUUUGUUUAGUAUAAAGUCUCUAGCUUGAACCAUCAAAGGUUUUAGUGUAUUUGACUCAAAGAUAAACUUAAACCAUCACAGUUUGGGCAAAGUGGUUGAUUUUGUAUUGUUUAAUAUAUUUACUGCUGAAUUAUUUCACUCUUACGUGGAUUUAUAAAGGUUCAUGAAGGUUUGGGGUUGGAUCGAAGACUCAGCUUUGAUUGACAUGCAGCCGUGAGGGCAGUUAAAUCAAUGUUUUAAAUAACUGUUUCAAUAACACAGCUGAAGUCUUUGACGAACAGUUUAUUUGCAAUGAAUGAGCACAUAGCGGUAUAGAUCACGGGAUGAAAGACAGAUCUAGAGACAGAUUCAUCAUUGAUUGCUUAGAAUUUAACCUUGGCGUAGUGGAAAAGUCUUUAAACCAUCCAGACAAGGCUGAAAAAAGCAGCAGUGGUGAUCAAAAAAACAAAAUGCCAUAUAAACUCAGGUCGAGGCUUUCCUACAGAGAGCUAAUUUUAAAGAAACCCACAUAUCAAUUGUGAGAUAAAUACGCUUACUUAAAGGGCUAUAUAUCCAACGUUUCAGCUGGGAAGUCUGAAAAUUACAGCCUCACUCUAAAAAACUGUUAAUGGGUACCCAAGGCUAAAUAACUUCACUGAGUGCUUCAGUGAAAAGAGUGAAAGCCUGAAUGUCUUCAGUCAAAGUAUUCAAAAAGUCAAGGGUUCAUUGUUCGGAAAGUUGUCUUGCGAAAUGAAAUUGCUGAAUUAAAGUGAAUUUGGAGGUUUAAAUGUACCAUCCAAACGCCUUCUGAAAGGAAGUAAGAUACAUAUUUUUGCAAUGCGCAGCCUUCUCAAGGUUGAUGAAAAAUCAGAGAUGUGAAAAUAGUAAUCAGAGGGAAGAUGAAAAGAAGCAAAGGAGCCCUCGUGCAAGAACCUCGGAGGGGCUGGAGACAUUGCAAUUAUAGAAACUAUUGACUUGUGUUUCCCAAGGUAUGAUCAAUUGCAGCGAAAUAAUGACAUCUCUGUGUUGUUUUGACCCAUUCACAGUGAAGGCAAUUUAUUUUGUGUGACAGGAGGCUUGCUGGGGACAAACUGGCUGAUGUGUGCCAGAGAUCAGGGAGAGGGGAGGUUUCAGCAGCAGCAGAAGAAGGUCAUUUCUGUGUACAUCAACCUCUUUUAGGAUGUGCCCUCCAAUGUUUUUCUUUCAAAUGUUUUUCUGUCUUUAGGAGAGAAAGUGUCUGUUGAUCCUCUGCGAAGGUAACGGGAAAUAACCUAGAUGUACUCCAGCAUUCCUUCCCUGAAUAAAUGUCUAUUAUUAACUGAGCACUAUUAUUAAAAGGGUGUAACAGACCUCGCUCAGGCAGAUAAAUAUAUAACCACGGAUAGCUUUUAAAUAACUUCUCUGCAAAUUUCUACUGAAAUAAACAGGAUUAUUUUACUUAGAAUUUUCCCAUUUCCUUUGGAGUGAGAAGAAAAGACUGAGUCCAGAAAACAAACAUUAAACUCUUAGAUGUUUAAUGGCAUUUUAAACUGAAAACAAACCUUUCUGCCUUUUACUUCAUGACAGAAGUCAUGAAGUAAACUUCAUGACUUAACAGAAAGUCACUUAACAGAAAUUUAAAAUGAUAACUUGGAUUUAAACUUUUAUGUCAUGAUGUUACUAUUAAAUGUAUAACUGAAUGUAAAAUUGCAUGUUUUAUAUAUGAUACCAUGUGGUACAUGUUGGUUUUUCCCCAACAUAGAGCUUUGUAAAAUCUUUAUUUGUAUCCUGCUACAUUUUUCCUUCCUUUCCUCAUAAACCAAAAAAAUAAAGACAUGAAAAACAUUUUCUACAGUGUGUAUCUGCUGUUGUUGUUUUCUAACGGUGAAAUAAUGUUUUGGAUAUUUGAUUAAAAUGGUUUUGCAUACUAAAAACAUUUUUUUUUUAAUUAUUAAAGCAAUCAAACUAACCAAUAUCUUUAUGUAUUGUUCUUAAAAUAAAGUAAAAAGAUUAAAAUUUUUAAAGUUUGAUUUUUUUCUGUGAAGAACGUGAAGGGUAUCUUAUAAUUUCCCUUUUUAGAAAUCAUCAUACUUAAAAAUUAUUUAUAAAAACACGGUAUAUUCAUUUAAGUAAUCUUGCAAAAUGGCCGCCAUGCGCGGACGUCGGUCUCCAUUAGCUAACAGCGUGCGUAAGCCAAAUGUUUAUAUAUGUAUGGUCAUCACAGCGACUCUCGGCGACUCUCCCGCCGAACGCGCACAACGCUACUGCGCAAUGUUGCUUUCAGGAAGUGGAGAAAAAACGCGGAAUUACCGGGAGCUUUUUUCGGCUUCAAAUCCGUAUAAUGGCGGAAGGAGGAACCAAGUUGUCCAGAGUUUAUACAGUCUAUGUUCGUCACCUGCUGCUGAACUCUGAAAAAUCACUCUGGUCACUCGGUUUGUAAGUUUUCGUCUCGUCUGGAAUCAGAUGUGGAAGAAUAUUCCCUUUCCUCCGCUCUCGGAUUAACGAACUUCGACUCCAUUCCGACCAUCCGGACCCGGUACCUGGCAGAACCUUCCAGACUCCACCGAGGAGCUCGUCUCAACAUCAAGCUAAGUCCUGCUGCUCGCUUCUUUUCAUGCUCGUUUUGACUUUAUUCUGGCUGCUUGUGUUGCAGAUUAAUGUUGUUUUACUGCUUUGCUGAUGUUUCUGUGGUUUAUGUCGGGAUGUCUGCUGCACGGCUGUGAUUUUAUGAUGUUUUGCUGCGGUUCAAACAUCUGUGAGCUUCAUAUUUUCUUCCAUAUUUAUGUAAAUUAAGAGCUCUGUCUUUGCCUGUUCAUCAUCUGCUCUUUUAUUCUGCGUGUGAAGUGAUAAUAGGAGCUGAUUUGGUGCUUAGAAAUAUAUCUAUUAUACUGAAAAAAUGAAAAAGUUCGGCUUUUGAUGGCAUGAGAAGGCUCGAAUUGUUUGUAUUUAUUUAUUUUUUGCUGUCUUUGGCCCUCUUCUUAUUGACUUUGACUCUGGUAUUUACCUCUGGUGUGGAGAGAACUGGGCCUUUUAGUAAAGGGUAGUGUUGUGUACAUUUGGGUUGUAAACAGAAGUGACCUGUGCUGCUCGCUGCCAAUUUAUAUUGUAUUGUCAGAGUUUUACAGGCUAAGAAAGGAAAAGAACAUUAAUAUAUCACUUAUACCUUUGCACAACAAUAGAGCUUGAUUUUAAAAAUGUAAUUUCACAGCAUGCUAUGAAUUUUUAUCAAGUAGUUUUUGAAGUACAUCCACACAUUUGCACUGCAACUCUUUGGCUUCUACAUGUACACUCAUGGACAUGCUGCUGUCAAAUCUGUGCAGCAUUUUGCCUUUUUUUGCUUCAAGUGUACACAUACUAGAGUGAUUAUUGUUGCAGAGGACAUAAUACGUUUAUUCAUGGUAUUUGAGUCACUUUAAACUGAUUAUUUUUCAACUGCCAGUUUUAAAGAAUCUGUACUAAAAACUAAAAAAUAAAUAGAUAAAUACUAAAUAAGACGUUAAAUAGCUUUUCUUCCCAACAAUAACAUCUUUGGAGGAUGACUCAAAGUCAUGGCUGACAUCUAUUUUACUGCCCUCAGCUCCGCCUUCGGUUACUCUGUUUAAUUGUCCAGCCACUUACAGAAGUGAGCAGGAAAAGCUCGACUCUGAUUGGCUGUUGUGAUGCACAGUUUCGUCAAGUUUGAUUGAGUAAAUAUACUCACUGCUGAUCACUGUGAUCGAACUGAAAUUUAUCAUGAUAAUUAAUCCCGAUCAUAUAAUCGCUCAGUCCUACGCCUAAGUUGAAAAAGUAAGAAGCACACACAGAACUUUAGGGGCAAAAUUGAUCAAACAAUGUGUGUCUUAUUGGUCGACAUGAGUACUGUUAUUUAAAAUUAAUUUUAGGUCUUUAGGUCACAUGACAUUAAAGCUAUUGAAGGAAAACAGCCUGUUUGAGAACAUCAACCGGUAAUUUAUUGACGGUCCCUUAUUCAACACCUGACGUUGACAGCGAGGGCGCCGAGUAGAUUUAACCGCGCUGCUGUUGUUAUUCCCGGUCGUGGAGAGUGAGAAGACGCCGGUAGAUCCUCAGUGAAUGUCCGUCGGAUAUCCAACCUAAAACUAACUUCACCGCCGUAUUUACAGGAAAAAACAUUUACUGCCUCGGCUGAUUUUUUAUGUAUAUUUUACAAUUCGCACGCAUCUAUUUUUAGUCGCAGAGAGAAACGGUCGCACUGUCAAACCCUGCUGAAAUGUCAUAUUUACAUUACGUAGGUGGGUUUGUAACCAGUGAGCACUCCAUCACUUGGCCUCGGGUUGGAUGGAUACAUAAGGCAUCGGUUUUAUAAGCAGCCUGUUGAGAUGUGAAGACAUCUGCAGGCCUCUGUCUCACACAGUUGAUGGUGCGCAUCAAUAUUUGAGACGAGUGUCACGUAGAGAAAGUUUGAUUGAGUCCCUGCUCUUCAUGGACUCGCUCUAAAGUGUGUCUUUCAUGUCAGGAAAUUCUCUUUCCAUGGGGCUCUCACUAGUCAUUAAACUACAGUGUCAAAAUUAAUGUAGUAAUGAUUUAUUGAUGGUCAAAUGCCAUAUAAGUCUUUUAAUCAAAGCUCAAAUGUUUAGCAUAUAAAUGGGGCUUUCUUCAUGGAUUUAGAAGUGAAUGUCUGGUUGAGCGCGGCAGAUCGAAGCGAUCAUUGCAUACUUUGGUGCUUUCCACCAAAAACGCUCUUUGAAAAUGAACUCCUCUUUGCACUCACACAUCUGUAUUUCGCUGUGACACAGACAAAUGGGACGGCGAGGACAGUAGGAAAAGUACUCCAAUUCCUCUCGCCUCCUCACAGAAAACGAUCCAUCAGGCUCCCAGCGACCCCUCAGACUCAGCGUCUGCUUUGUCUGCAAAUCGCUGAAAUCCCAAUCCCAAAUCCACUCACACAUCCAUCCUGACUUUAUUGCUGCUCGCUCCCAUGACUGGGAGGACACUUCUUAGGUCCACUAAUCUGUAAUCUGUCUACUGGAGGAGCUUGGAGAUAAACUAAGACUAACUAGUGACUGCUAGUUUGGCAGCUCCACCCAUCAUCUGCAACCAGCUAGAUGACUCGACUCUUGAGAUAAAUAGUGAUCCUGCAGUUCUCUCUCUGUCCAUGUGGAAUGUGGGGUGUAUUGUAAAAUCAGAACAUUAAUCUAACUCACUUUCUUUUCCAAACUUGACUUAAAAAGUGAAUUAAAUCAGUUCAUGUGUUCACCUUUUAACUUUACCUCCUCUAAGAUGUCAUUUCCCUGCUGUUCACCACAGUCUAACAGAUGACACAGAUGUUUCUGACAUAUGUGGUCAUGACUUUCAACACAGCUAAACUGCUAGACUGAAAAGUCAAACACAUUCGCAGUACGAAGGGUUGCGGCACCUAAAGGCUUCAAACAGAUGGUCUGAGUUCUCAGCCUAACCUA
This 5411-nucleotide long non-coding RNA is filed under the name Xyrichtys novacula (pearly razorfish). Lineage: Eukaryota; Metazoa; Chordata; Actinopteri; Labriformes; Labridae. The record is from RNAcentral.